This 460-nucleotide ribosomal RNA is filed under the name uncultured bacterium. RNAcentral describes it as "partial 16S ribosomal RNA". It matches the Rfam family "Bacterial small subunit ribosomal RNA", at positions 338 to 795 of the family's 1533-position model. The record is from RNAcentral.
CCUACGGGCGGCAGCAGUGAGGAAUAUUGGGCAAUGGGCGCGAGUCUGAACCAGCCAAGCAGCGUGAAGGAUGAAUGCCCUAGGGUUUGUAAACUCUUUUUAUAAAGAAAUAAAGUGAGGCACGUGUGCCUUUUUGUAUGUACUUUAUGAAUAAGGAUCGGCUAACUCCGGGCCAGCAGCCGCGGUAAUACGGAGGAUUCGAGCGUUAUCCGGAUUUAUUGGGUUUAAAGGGAGCGUAGGUGGGUUGUUAAGUCAGUUGUGAAAGUUUGGGGCUCAACCGUAAAAUUGCAAUGGAUACUGGCAGUCUUGAGUGCAGUAGAGGAAGGCGGAAUUCGUGGUGUAGCGGUGAAAUGCGUAGAUAUCACGAGGAACUCCGGUGGCGAAGGCAGCUUACUAGACUGCCACUGACAUUGAUGCUCGAAAGUGUGGGGAUCAAACAGGAUUAGAUACCCCUGUAGUC